UGAGGAAUAUUGGGCAAUGCCCGAAAGGGUGACCCAGCAACGCCGCGUGGAGGAUGAAGGUCGUAAGAUUGUAAACUCCUGUUAGAGGGGAAGAAUAACUAAGUUUGGAGCUUAGUAUGACUGUACCCUCAGAGAAAGCCCCGGCUAACUACGUGCCAGCAGCCGCGGUAAUACGUAGGGGGCAAGCGUUGUCCGGAUUUACUGGGUGUAAGGGGCUCGCAGGCGGAAUGGAAAGUCAGUGGUGAAAUCCUACAGCUUAACUGUAGAACUGCCUUUGAUACUUUCAUUCUUGAGUUCGGUAGAGAGAGACGGAAUUCCAGGUGUAGUGGUGAAAUACGUAGAUAUCUGGAAGAACACCAGUUGCGAAGGCGGUCUCUUGGUCCGAUACUGACGCUGAGGCGCGAAAGCAUGGGGAGCAAACA
RNAcentral lists this ribosomal RNA (422 nucleotides) under uncultured bacterium. RNAcentral's name for it is "bacterial SSU rRNA". It matches the Rfam family "Bacterial small subunit ribosomal RNA", at positions 355 to 774 of the family's 1533-position model. The record is from RNAcentral.